RNAcentral lists this long non-coding RNA (949 nucleotides) under Olea europaea subsp. europaea. The record is from RNAcentral. Lineage: Eukaryota; Viridiplantae; Streptophyta; Magnoliopsida; Lamiales; Oleaceae.
CACAGCACAGAUUCACAUGUCAAAAAAAAAUUAAAUCAUGCAAAUCAAUUUAAUGUAAACUUGUAUUGGAACAAUCUCAUCAAAUACUGUGUAUAACAGUAUUAAACCAAACUCCAUUGCUGAUUUCAGAAUGGAACCCAAGCCCUAGCAUCCAGGGAAAUCCAUUAAGUUCGAGUUAUUGUAUCGCACAGGUCAAGAAACGCAUCAAUAUUACAAAAAACUUAAAUCAAAUUCACAGAUGCCUUACCCACACCUUUUGAGGCUUUGAUACUAGAUUUGUCAGGAUAUUGUCACCCAAUCGAGAUAAUAUUUAGAAAUCAAACCACAAACAGUCAAAAACCAAUGCAAGAAAAGGUCACCCAGUUCAGCAAAAACUUACUCUGAGGGUUCAGAGAUAAGAGUCUGUCAAUGUGUGCAAGAACCUCACAAAAGAGAGUUUAAGUUUAGAGUACAACAAUUUGACCACCUAGAUCACGAAUCUAUAAAGGAUCUUACAAAAACUACUUCCAAUCGACACAAGACCAAGACAUAACUAUAGUAAGUUCUUUACAGUUCAAAAUCGACCAAAAGGCCCUAAAAACAUCCUGUCAAGAACACUAGACACAAGCCGAAUACAACUUGAAAUCACCACAGACCACAGGCCACAUAUCAAAGGCCAAGAUCUGAUUACAGCCAUAAAGAAGAAAUUCCAUAUCUGAAGUUGAGAAAUCAGAUUUACAGUGAUAGAAAGAGAAUUGUCAGGGAGAUGGAACCAUAGGCUAAAAUGAAAUAAUGAAUGAAUGAAUCCUUCAAACUGGGCCGUCCCAAGAGUCAAGGGAUUUCAAUUAAUCCACGGCCAUUGAUCUUCGUCAACGGUCCAGAUGAGUUGCCAAGAAACACACAUUCGGAUGAAGGCAAAUAAGCCAAUCCUUGUGUGCCAAGUGGAUAGCAAGUUAAAAAACAUUUUUCU